Molecule: ribosomal RNA, 533 nt
Filed under: Pseudomonas sp. So14
Lineage: Bacteria; Pseudomonadati; Pseudomonadota; Gammaproteobacteria; Pseudomonadales; Pseudomonadaceae
Also listed under: 3 other names
Description: bacterial SSU rRNA
Rfam family: Bacterial small subunit ribosomal RNA
Source: RNAcentral
GAGAAGAGCUUGCUCUUCGAUUCAGCGGCGGACGGGUGAGUAAUGCCUAGGAAUCUGCCUGGUAGUGGGGGACAACGUUUCGAAAGGAACGCUAAUACCGCAUACGUCCUACGGGAGAAAGCAGGGGACCUUCGGGCCUUGCGCUAUCAGAUGAGCCUAGGUCGGAUUAGCUAGUUGGUGGGGUAAUGGCUCACCAAGGCGACGAUCCGUAACUGGUCUGAGAGGAUGAUCAGUCACACUGGAACUGAGACACGGUCCAGACUCCUACGGGAGGCAGCAGUGGGGAAUAUUGGACAAUGGGCGAAAGCCUGAUCCAGCCAUGCCGCGUGUGUGAAGAAGGUCUUCGGAUUGUAAAGCACUUUAAGUUGGGAGGAAGGGCAUUAACCUAAUACGUUAGUGUUUUGACGUUACCGACAGAAUAAGCACCGGCUAACUCUGUGCCAGCAGCCGCGGUAAUACAGAGGGUGCAAGCGUUAAUCGGAAUUACUGGGCGUAAAGCGCGCGUAGGUGGUUUGUUAAGUUGGAUGUGAAAG